Molecule: ribosomal RNA, 897 nt
Filed under: Apiospora hysterina
Lineage: Eukaryota; Fungi; Ascomycota; Sordariomycetes; Amphisphaeriales; Apiosporaceae
Description: partial large subunit ribosomal RNA
Rfam family: Eukaryotic large subunit ribosomal RNA
Source: RNAcentral
GCAUAUCAAUAAGCGGAGGAAAAGAAACCAACAGGGAUUCCCCUAGUAACGGCGAGUGAAGCGGGAACAGCUCAAAUUUGAAAUCUGGCCCUCGGGUCCGAGUUGUAAUUUGCAGAGGAUGCUUUUGGCGCGGUGCCUUCCGAGUUCCCUGGAACGGGACGCCUUAGAGGGUGAGAGCCCCGUACGGUUGGCCACCAAGCCUGUGUAAAGCUCCUUCGACGAGUCGAGUAGUUUGGGAAUGCUGCUCAAAACGGGAGGUAUAUUUCUUCUAAAGCUAAAUACUGGCCAGAGACCGAUAGCGCACAAGUAGAGUGAUCGAAAGAUGAAAAGCACUUUGAAAAGAGGGUUAAAUAGCACGUGAAAUUGUUGAAAGGGAAGGGUUUAUGACCAGACUUUUUCUAGGGGGAUCAUCCGGUGUUCUCACCGGUGCACUUCCCCUAGUUGAGGCCAGCAUCGGUUUCUGCCGGGGGAUAAAAGCUUCGGGAAUGUGGCUCCUUCGGGAGUGUUAUAGCCCGUUGUAUAAUACCCUGGCGGGGACCGAGGUUCGCGCAUUCGCAAGGAUGCUGGCGUAAUGGUUAUUAACCACCCGUCUUGAAACACGGACCAAGGAGUCGAACAUUUGUGCGAGUGUUUGGGUGUUAAACCCUCACGCGUAAUGAAAGUGAACGGAGGUGAGAGCCUUUAGGGGUGCAUCAUCGACCGAUCCUGAUGUCUUCGGAUGGAUUUGAGUAGGAGCAUCACUGUUCGGACCCGAAAGAUGGUGAACUAUGCGUGGAUAGGGUGAAGCCAGAGGAAACUCUGGUGGAGGCUCGCAGCGGUUCUGACGUGCAAAUCGAUCGUCAAAUCUGCGCAUGGGGGCGAAAGACUAAUCGAACCAUCUAGUAGCUGGUUACCGCC